Molecule: ribosomal RNA, 253 nt
Filed under: uncultured bacterium
Lineage: Bacteria
Description: partial 16S ribosomal RNA
Rfam family: Bacterial small subunit ribosomal RNA
Source: RNAcentral
UACGUAGGGGGCAAGCGUUGUCCGGAAUUAUUGGGCGUAAAGAGCGCGCAGGCGGUCUUUUACGUCUGAUGUGAAAGCCCACGGCUCAACCGUGGAGGGUCAUUGGAAACUGGGGGACUUGAGUGCAGGAGAGAAGAGUGGAAUUCCACGUGUAGCGGUGAAAUGCGUAGAGAUGUGGAGGAACACCAGUGGCGAAGGCGACUCCUUGGCCUGUAACUGACGCUGAGGCGCGAAAGCGUGGGGAGCAAACAGG